Molecule: long non-coding RNA, 1006 nt
Filed under: Capra hircus (goat)
Lineage: Eukaryota; Metazoa; Chordata; Mammalia; Artiodactyla; Bovidae
Description: lncRNA (ENSCHIG00010022435.1)
Source: RNAcentral
ACGGAAAACCUGGGAUUCAGAACUGGGAUUUUAGAGCUAAAGUACUGUUUCCAGGCUCAGGGGCCUGGGGACUGUGGUGCCACUGGGGGGCGGGGGAAGGGUGAGGAUCCCUGGAGGAGCAGGAAGCGGGGAGAGGGUUUGGUGUUGACAGGGGUUUUGCCGGGAGCACCCAGGAUCCUGGGCCCCUCUCUGCCAGGUGAUGGGUGGUGGUGGCUGGGCGGGGUGUUUUAUGGGGUCACCGAGAGAAGGGACAGUGCGUGGUGCCUCCCCAGGGGUGGCCCCAGGAGGGGCCCAGUAAAUGAACAGAUAAGUGCUCCCUCGGGGCUCCCAGCCCUGUUCAUGGGCAAGCAGGAGGGUAGGCAGGGUGCAGAGAUCCUGCCCUCUGCCUGGGGGAGGAUGGACGGUGGGCACUGGGGCAGGGAGGGAAGGAGGGCUGGGCACCUGUCCAGCGGAAUGGAGAAGUCCAGGAAGGCGGCCACCAGCUCGGAGGUGUGGUUCCGGGCCAGCAGGGUGAUGGCCUGCAGGGCAUUUUCCUUGGCUUGGGGGAUGCGGAUGGAGCAGAGCUGCAGGUGGAUGGCCCGGCCCAGGCUGGCAACCUGUGCGGGGAGGAAGAGUAUGGGGAGAGGGCUGGUCUGGGCAGGGGGCCAGGCCCCGCCCUGGGCAGCCUGAACAGGGAGGCAGGAGCUGCCCCGAUGGGCGUGGAGCCCCUUCAGGUAGAGUGCUCUCCUGAGGGGGACGCACAGCCCUGCCCUGGGGGCUCUAAGAGGGAGGUCUGACGGGGGAGGCUCUUCUCUGCCCUGGACACGAGUCAGAAGGGGACCCCCGGGCUGAGAGGGGGAGAGCACCCAUCUGCACAGCAUUUGGGGUCGUCCAAGUCUGUCCAAACAUUGCCCAGUCGCUGAAGGUUCAGACACACCCAGGGGCUAGAGCGUCUGGCCCUGGUCUUGGGGCUGGGGGGACACGGGGUGUCUGCCUUAUGUUCAGACGGCGUCGUGUCCUGCCAUCA